This is an RNA transcript of Carlito syrichta (Philippine tarsier), 364 nucleotides long. It is a transcript of the gene named 40S ribosomal protein S20 pseudogene, with no coding region annotated. The transcript has a single exon. The record is from RefSeq and is a predicted model, not a curated record. Lineage: Eukaryota; Metazoa; Chordata; Mammalia; Primates; Tarsiidae.
AUGGCUUUUAAAGACACCAGCAAGACACCUGUGGAGCCGGAGGUGGCCAUCACCGAAUUAGGAUCACCCUCACCAGCCACAACUUGAGAUCUCUGGAGAAAGUGUGCCCUGGCCUGAUCAGAGGUGCAAAGGAAAAGAAUUUCAAAGUGAAAGGACCGGUUCGUGUGCCUACCAAGACUUUGAGAAUCACUACAAGAAAAACUCCUUGUGGUGAAGGUUCCAAGACAUGGGAUCGCUUCCAGAUAAGAAUCCACAAGCAACUCAUCGAUUUGUGCAGUCCUUCCGAGGCUGUCAAGUAGAUUACUUCCAUCAGUACUUCCAUGAGUCAGGAGUUGAGGUUAAAGUCACCAUUGCUGAUGCUUAA